GGCUGGUUUGUGCUGCCUAACCUGGACUGACCGUGCGGCUGGCUGAGGCUGCACACCUGUUGCACAUUGAGCAAUCAGUGUGCAACAUGUUAAACCAGCCGUCACCACACAUCUCCUGCAUGGUAACCCGGAGCCCCAUGUAUCUCAUAGUCAGAUAUCGUUGUCUGCAACCUCACAAUGAACCGGUCUUCCAACACCACUGCUCUGCGUCCUUGUCUGGAGGAGCUCAGCUUAAGUUACCUAGGUGGAGUGUGGCAGCGUUGUUACAAACUCGAAUGCACCUGGAUACAUUUCACUCAGAUGUUCCGUGAUCUCCUUCACAAACCUUCCAUGACCUGAACUUCCUCUAUUUAGAAGUUGGCGUAUAGACGAGAGGAACAAGAUGUCCCUGGACUAGCUGACAUUUUCGACUGCGGUUGCCCGGCUCAUCUCAAGAUGGCAGAUCUUCAGUUUAGCCCUGAUUGGAGAGGAGGGCCCCAUCAUGCAUGAGCAAUCAACUCUCAAGGAUCAUCAAGGUGUCACAGUAUAGCGGGCUAUCGAUCGAAUGGCGAUACAUUAUGCAGUACCACGGCCACGAUUUCCCGCGAUGAAACUCUGCUACAACCAUUAACCUUCCUCAGACCCGAGGCAGAUGUUCUCGUCCAACGGUUAAAAAAGCAUUCAUGGUCAGAUUUAAUUUAAAGAGAACAAUUUUCUCCCAUCAUAUUCUAGACACCCAGCGGACUUUAAAAAAACUGAUAUUGGAUUGCCAUUGUGGUUCCGGUGCGCACUCGGGUUGCGUGGCGCACCUGUUACUUGUUUUGAGCCCCCAGAAACCACCUUGAAUACCUCGACAUGUGUUGCCAUCGGCAACAAGUGAACCAGCAGUCCAAUUUGGUAGAGACAGUGUUGUGUAAGAGUAUGGAAGCAAGUCAUUGGAAUAUGAUUAUACUUUUAAAUGGCAUGAAGUAACUGAAUAAAUUGAAUUGCAUCUUCUUAUUUUUGUUAUGUUUUGGAUUCAUCGUUUAAGCGAAGUUCCACAUAUGGUCGAGGUAAAGCGUAAACAGAACCAUCUCUUUAUCUCAGCAAUCAAUGUUCAGAAGUUUUUUGGUCUUACUGUAUGCAUACCUAACC
Gadus morhua (Atlantic cod) is the source of this 1113-nucleotide long non-coding RNA. The record is from Ensembl. NCBI's taxonomy places the organism in Eukaryota, Metazoa, Chordata, Actinopteri, Gadiformes, Gadidae.